GACGAACCGUCCAAACGUUAUUCGGAAUCACUGGGCUUAAAGGGUGCGUAGGCGGUCGGACAAGUUGGGUGUGAAAGCCCUCAGCUCAACUGAGGAACUGCGCCCAAAACUGUUCGACUUGAGGGAGACAUAGGUGAGCGGAACUUAGGGUGGAGCGGUGAAAUGCGUUGAGAUCCUAAGGAACACCAGUAGCGAAAGCGGCUCACUGGGUCUCUUCUGACGCUGAUGCACGAAAGCUAGGGGAG
RNAcentral lists this ribosomal RNA (245 nucleotides) under uncultured bacterium. Its description in RNAcentral is "partial 16S ribosomal RNA". It matches the Rfam family "Bacterial small subunit ribosomal RNA", at positions 524 to 768 of the family's 1533-position model. The record is from RNAcentral.